GUGCAUUCUGGGGUCAUUUUAGUGAUUGGUUGCUUGCUUGGCUUUGAGCUUGGUGGGUGGCUAGUUGUUGGGUGACUUCGGGGGUGUUUACCGUAAAGGUGCAUGAGUGGUGUUUGGUUUGUUACGGGUGGUUGGCUCUUUGCUUGUGCAACAACUUCCACCUGGCUUACCUUUUUCAGUCCCUUGUCAAAUGCUUGUAAAGCAUUAGAUUAAGCAAUGGUUUCUUGUGUUGCAUACCAACUUGACGGAAUAGAGUGAUGGCUAAAUCUUUUGUUCUUCAUCUUACAUCUUAAAUGUGAUGUGAGAUGAACUUGUAAGCGUUCUUUGUGGACCACAUCCUUAAUGCUUGUACAUUCAUUGAUGUGGGUCACUUUGAGUUGCUUGGUCUCUUGGGUAUGGAACUUGAUGUGGGCAUGGGACUUUAAGAGUCCUUCUGUUGUCCUGCUUUAGCGAUUAUCUUAUACGAUUGUCUAUCACGUAUGGCUCGUCUCAGCGUGAUAGACUAUGUCGAAGAUGAAUGCUACCUGGUUGAUCCUGCCAGUAGUCAUAUGCUUGUCUCAAAGAUUAAGCCAU
Molecule: unclassified non-coding RNA, 573 nt
Filed under: Rhynchopsidium pumilum
Lineage: Eukaryota; Viridiplantae; Streptophyta; Magnoliopsida; Asterales; Asteraceae
Description: partial external transcribed spacer
Rfam family: Eukaryotic small subunit ribosomal RNA (bases 522-573)
Source: RNAcentral